GAUCCUGGCUCAGGAUGAACGCUGGCGGCGUGCUUAACACAUGCAAGUCGAACGAAGCGCUUUACCGGAUCUCUUCGGAAUGAAAGUUUUGUGACUGAGUGGCGGACGGGUGAGUAACGCGUGGGUAACCUGCCUCAUACAGGGGGAUAACAGUUAGAAAUGACUGCUAAUACCGCAUAAGACCACAGGACCGCAUGGCCCAGUGGUAAAAACUCCGGUGGUAUGAGAUGGACCCGCGU
RNAcentral lists this ribosomal RNA (239 nucleotides) under uncultured bacterium. RNAcentral's name for it is "partial 16S ribosomal RNA". It matches the Rfam family "Bacterial small subunit ribosomal RNA", at positions 15 to 236 of the family's 1533-position model. The record is from RNAcentral.